Pseudopipra pipra is the source of this 383-nucleotide long non-coding RNA. RefSeq lists it as uncharacterized. NCBI's taxonomy places the organism in Eukaryota, Metazoa, Chordata, Aves, Passeriformes, Pipridae. The transcript is spliced from 3 exons. The record is from RefSeq and is a predicted model, not a curated record.
AGGGUUCUGCUAUGGACAACUCUUCACUGUUUUCAGACUGAGCUCUCAGGUGAGAUGUACCAGCUGGCUGAGUGGAACCGGGGAGAAAACAGACAGACAGGGUUGGGGGAACACACCUGUUGCUCACACGGUCCUAUACAUAGCCAAAGUCUUCAGGCAGCUAAGGUGUUGCCUAAGGUCUGUGUCCUGCAACACAAUAUUCCAGUGCCUGAGAAAGCACGAAGAGAGAUACCAGGCUACAGUGGCCAACCUGUCUAGGGCAGGGUGAAGCUUCAGCAGGAGUAUCAAGUGUGUCAAAGAACUUCUCACAGAUUAAACAGGUGAAGGAUUAUGGUUUGUGAAGGCUCAUUCUGCUUUGGCCUGAGGACAUUUGAACAAAAACG